UUUUCCAAGAUAAUAAUUUCUCUGUUUUUGAAUUUAGGAGUAUCCUGUUGAUCUGAAGUAUGAAAAAGGAAAGGGAUUGAGUUGGAUUUGGAACGAAACGGUAGAAAGCGUGUGAGAUUCACUGAUUGUGUAGGCAAUCAUCUGAUUCAUUAGCCGCUGCAGAGGAAGAUGCCGUGGAGAUAUUGAAAUGUAGAAGCAAGAAGACAUUCAUGUCUGCAGAAAGUCAUAUUUCAUUCAAAAUUUUUAUUUACAGAAGCAUAUCAAGUGAUAGAAAUCAUAAAAAUUGAUCCGUUAUGUGCUUGAUAUUAUAACACGUGGAUUAGCCCAAUGUGCUUGAUAUUAUAAUACGUGGAUUAGCUCAAUGGCGGCGAUUUGUUCAUAAUUUCUUUCUUUUGGUCGACUUAAAGUUGAGACUCAUUCCAUACACAUCGGGUAGUAUUACAAAAUCA
This is a non-coding RNA of Malus domestica (apple), 449 nucleotides long. NCBI's taxonomy places the organism in Eukaryota, Viridiplantae, Streptophyta, Magnoliopsida, Rosales, Rosaceae. The record is from RefSeq and is a predicted model, not a curated record.